ACGGUAAAAACACACGCAGAAACGCAGAAGCAUAGGGGAUGCAGCGCCGCAAGUGGGAGACCGACCGACCGCCGGUAGCCCGGAGAUCCGCCGCUCGCCGCCCUAAGCCGAGACCCAGCCCCGGCGCCGCCCUUCUCGCUGUAUCCCCAGCCGUAUCAACAGAUCGCCGCCGUUCUCCACCCGGACGCAAGACCUAGCGCCGCCACGACGCCUCCUGCGUCCGUCACCGGCGUGGCCGAAUAAAGAAGGGAAGCCGCCGCCUCUCCGCCGGAUUGACGAGAAAACGGCGCAGUCCGACCGCCGAUCCAACAGCCCAGGGUCUCUACCGUCAAACACAGUGACUAAUCUCCUUGUUGGAUCGUAGGCACCUCUAUUGGGUAGGAUAAGCUAACCUGGAAAUUUAAGGUUGGACAAUCUUUGUUAUUUAUUAGCAAAGUUCAUAAUGGGAUUCAAACCAAUGAGAAUGUCACCUAUAGAAAUAUGAACAUAAUCUUUUACAAUUGCCAUGGUUUAGGUAUGUUUCAACAUGAUAACAACUCAUCAUCCUUGAACCCCAUCAUGUACUACCCUUAACUUUUAUCAAUUGCCAUGGUUUAGGUAUGCUUCAAUUCAUUAUAAUAAUGACUAGAAAUAAAUCACUAUCUUAUUAUCA
Long non-coding RNA from Ipomoea triloba (trilobed morning glory), 652 nucleotides. RefSeq lists it as uncharacterized. Lineage: Eukaryota; Viridiplantae; Streptophyta; Magnoliopsida; Solanales; Convolvulaceae. The record is from RefSeq and is a predicted model, not a curated record. The transcript has 2 exons.